This 296-nucleotide long non-coding RNA is filed under the name Ananas comosus (pineapple). RNAcentral's name for it is "long non-coding RNA (ACOM_LNC034859)". The record is from RNAcentral. Lineage: Eukaryota; Viridiplantae; Streptophyta; Magnoliopsida; Poales; Bromeliaceae.
AAAAAAAGUUUAUACUAAACGUGAAAACCUGUUAUAUUCUUUUUAUCUUUUUUUUGCUUACAAAAAAAAUUUAGAAAAAAUAUCAAUUCACUUAUCAAUUCACAGUUGACCUUACUGUUGGAUCAUCGAUAUUGACUAUAAUUCUAAAAACUCGAACGGUCAUAACAAUCAAUUUUAUUUAUAACAUACAGAUCCAAUGUAACCUGCCACCAAUUCAUCUACAAAAUUUACAAUCCAAUUUUUUUUUCUUUUUAUAAAUCUCAGUGUGCCCCAACUUUUGAAUUGAUCCAAUCUUC